RNAcentral lists this ribosomal RNA (488 nucleotides) under uncultured bacterium. RNAcentral describes it as "partial 16S ribosomal RNA". It matches the Rfam family "Bacterial small subunit ribosomal RNA", at positions 28 to 523 of the family's 1533-position model. The record is from RNAcentral.
GACGAACGCUGGCGGCGUGCCUAACACAUGCAAGUCGAGCGGAGUUAAUUGAAAGCUUGCUUUUGAUUAACUUAGCGGCGGACGGGUGAGUAACGCGUGGGCAACCUGCCUGUUACAGGGGGAUAACACAGGGAAACUUGUGCUAAUACCGCAUAACACAACGAGAAAGCAUUUUCUUGUUGUCAAAGGAGCAAUCCGGUAAUAGAUGGGCCCGCGUCCAAUUAGCUAGUUGGUGAUGUAACGGACCACCAAGGCGACGAUUGGUAGCCGAACUGAGAGGUUGAUCGGCCACAUUGGGACUGAGACACGGCCCAGACUCCUACGGGAGGCAGCAGUGGGGAAUAUUGCACAAUGGGGGAAACCCUGAUGCAGCAACGCCGCGUGAAGGAUGAAGGUUUUCGGAUUGUAAACUUCUUUAGUCAGGGACGAAUAAAUGACGGUACCUGAAGAAUAAGCCACGGCUAACUACGUGCCAGCCGCCGCCGUAA